RNAcentral lists this ribosomal RNA (435 nucleotides) under uncultured bacterium. RNAcentral describes it as "bacterial SSU rRNA". It matches the Rfam family "Bacterial small subunit ribosomal RNA", at positions 62 to 543 of the family's 1533-position model. The record is from RNAcentral.
UCGAACGCAUCCUUCGGGGUGAGUGGCAGACGGGUGAGUAACGCGUGGGAACGUGCCCUUCAGUUCGGGAUAACCCAGGGAAACUUGGGCUAAUACCGGAUACGUGCGAGAGCAGAAAGAUUUAUCGCUGAAGGAUCGGCCCGCGUCUGAUUAGCUGGUUGGUGAGGUAAUGGCUCACCAAGGCGACGAUCAGUAGCUGGUCUGAGAGGAUGAUCAGCCACACUGGGACUGAGACACGGCCCAGACUCCUACGGGAGGCAGCAGUGGGGAAUAUUGGACAAUGGGCGCAAGCCUGAUCCAGCCAUGCCGCGUGAGUGAUGAAGGCCUUAGGGUUGUAAAGCUCUUUCGCACGCGACGAUAAUGACGGUAGCGUGAGAAGAAGCCCCGGCUAACUUCGUGCCAGCAGCCGCGGUAAUACGAAGGGGGCUAGCGUUG